GCACUGUACCAUGUGGACAAUCUCUCUUGCUUUGGUGUCUCUCUUUCUCUAAUGAAAAAAAGGAGGAGGAGAAAGACAAGAAGAAAAGAGAAAGGAGAAAAAGGAAAGAAAAAGAUGUGGCCUAAACUACAGAACUGCACUUGAAAAAAAAAAAGAUGAAGAGAACUGUGACAAGUUGAAUUGUUCAUUUUCCAAAGCCCUGAGAAUUAAUAAGAACUCUUCGCACUGGAGGUGAAAGCGCAUUGCUUGCUGUCCAAACAUAACUUCAGGCAGGAAGAAAAAAAAAAUCCAACAGCUGACUGAGGUAGGUGGGGUCCUUGAAGCACAGGAAGAUGGGAGAUAACCGUCUGUCAAGAGAAACUGCUUAGUCUCUGCAAGAGCAAAGGAGGAAUUAGAGCAGGCAGGAAGAGUUCACUUACUAGGAAAUUAGAAGCGAUGGCGGUUCCAGAGAACAGGCAUGCUUCUGAAGGAUCUUUGAGAAGCCUGUGGAAACGAAAGGCAAUGCUGAGUUUCUGAAUUGCACUCAAACUCAGUGACUUGCCAGAAGAUUCACUGGCCUUCAGUCCUUCCUCUUGGGGCCGUGGGUGACAACAGAGAAACU
This is a long non-coding RNA of Erinaceus europaeus (western European hedgehog), 601 nucleotides long. RefSeq lists it as uncharacterized. The record is from RefSeq and is a predicted model, not a curated record. NCBI's taxonomy places the organism in Eukaryota, Metazoa, Chordata, Mammalia, Eulipotyphla, Erinaceidae. The transcript is spliced from 4 exons.